UACGUAGGAUGCGAGCGUUGUCCGGAAUUAUUGGGCGUAAAGCGUACGUAGGUGGUUUGUUAAGUUCGGUCUUAAAGACCAGGGCUCAACCCUGGGAGUGGACUGAAGACUGGCAGACUAGAGGACGUCAGAGGAAAAUGGAAUUCCGAGUGUAGCGGUGAAAUGCGUAGAUAUUCGGAGGAACACCAGAGGCGAAAGCGGUUUUCUGGGGCGGUCCUGACACUGAGGUACGAAAGCUUGGGGAGCAAACAGG
RNAcentral lists this ribosomal RNA (253 nucleotides) under uncultured bacterium. Its description in RNAcentral is "partial 16S ribosomal RNA". It matches the Rfam family "Bacterial small subunit ribosomal RNA", at positions 524 to 776 of the family's 1533-position model. The record is from RNAcentral.